GUUUCUGUGGUGUAGCAGUGAUCACGUUCGCCUAACACGCGAAAGGUCCCCAGAUCAAAGCCGGGCAGAAACA
Non-coding RNA from Gavialis gangeticus (Gharial), 73 nucleotides. NCBI's taxonomy places the organism in Eukaryota, Metazoa, Chordata, Crocodylia, Gavialidae. The record is from the annotation of a RefSeq genome assembly.